This 40-nucleotide transfer RNA is filed under the name Dicranum schljakovii. RNAcentral describes it as "partial tRNA-Phe". It matches the Rfam family "tRNA", at positions 1 to 39 of the family's 71-position model. Rfam says of the family: Transfer RNA (tRNA) molecules are approximately 80 nucleotides in length. Their secondary structure includes four short double-helical elements and three loops (D, anti-codon, and T loops). Lineage: Eukaryota; Viridiplantae; Streptophyta; Bryopsida; Dicranales; Dicranaceae. The record is from RNAcentral.
GCUGGAAUAGCUCAGUUGGUAGAGCAGAGGACUGAAAAUC